This is a long non-coding RNA of Amphimedon queenslandica, 388 nucleotides long. RefSeq lists it as uncharacterized. The record is from RefSeq and is a predicted model, not a curated record. Lineage: Eukaryota; Metazoa; Porifera; Demospongiae; Haplosclerida; Niphatidae. The transcript is spliced from 4 exons.
CACGUGGGUAGCAGGGGUGUGCCGAAUAUCUAUGGCCGAACGAACCCGCCUCAUCACAUGGAGCCCUGAUAGAGAUUCUAAUUGAGUUAUUUCUUAUGGAGUGAAUUUUAUUCAAAUCUGAAAGUGCUGUAUUAAGCUAUUAAAGAACAGCCUUUGUUCAAUGAUCGAUGAAGAAUGAUGGAUAUGUGUCACACAGUCUAAUGGAAGUACAGUUCUUGCAAUUCUUGACGACUUAACACUCACGGCCAUCACUUUAAAGUAACCUCAAGUAAGUACCUUGUUCUUUGCUGGUUAAGUUUGUAGUUUUUGACAACGUCUUAUGUACACACAUUAGGGAAAGUUUUCAGGAAAGCACCUUAGUGUUACGUAAGUUGGGAUGAGAUCAUUU